RNAcentral lists this ribosomal RNA (244 nucleotides) under uncultured bacterium. RNAcentral describes it as "partial 16S ribosomal RNA". It matches the Rfam family "Bacterial small subunit ribosomal RNA", at positions 524 to 768 of the family's 1533-position model. The record is from RNAcentral.
UACAGAGGGUGCAAGCGUUAAUCGGAAUUACUGGGCGUAAAGCGCAUGUAGGUGGACUGUUAAGUUUGAUGUGAAAGCCCUGGGCUUAACCUGGGAAUGGCGUUGAAGACUGGCAGACUAGAGUCGGACAGAGGGCCGUGGAAUUCCGGUGUAGCGGUGAAAUGCGUAGAGAUCGGAAAGAACACCAGUGGCGAAGGCGGCGGCCUGGGUCCAAACUGACACUGAGGUGCGAAAGCGUGGGGAG